This 73-nucleotide transfer RNA is filed under the name Candidatus Acidifodinimicrobium mancum. RNAcentral's name for it is "tRNA-Val". It matches the Rfam family "tRNA". Rfam says of the family: Transfer RNA (tRNA) molecules are approximately 80 nucleotides in length. Their secondary structure includes four short double-helical elements and three loops (D, anti-codon, and T loops). The record is from RNAcentral. Lineage: Archaea; Nanobdellati; Candidatus Parvarchaeota; Candidatus Acidifodinimicrobiaceae.
GGGCCCAUGGUCUAGUGGCUAUGACGUCGCAUUCACAUUGCGAAGUUCGGGAGUUCGAAUCUCUCUGGGCCCA